GGGCCCGUGGUGUAACGGAUUAUCAUAUAGGCCUCCGGAGCCUAUAAUCCGGGUUCGAAUCCCGGCGGGCUCA
This is a non-coding RNA of Ferroplasma sp. Type II, 73 nucleotides long. Lineage: Archaea; Methanobacteriati; Thermoplasmatota; Thermoplasmata; Thermoplasmatales; Ferroplasmaceae. The record is from Rfam.